This 253-nucleotide ribosomal RNA is filed under the name uncultured bacterium. RNAcentral describes it as "partial 16S ribosomal RNA". It matches the Rfam family "Bacterial small subunit ribosomal RNA", at positions 524 to 776 of the family's 1533-position model. The record is from RNAcentral.
UACGUAGGUGGCAAGCGUUGUCCGGAUUUACUGGGCGUAAAGGGCGUGCAGGCGGUCUGUUAAGUGCAGGGUGAAAGCUCCCGGCUCAACUGGGAGAGGUCCUUGCAUACUGGCGGACUUGAGGGGGGUAGAGGAAAGUGGAAUUCCCGGUGUAGUGGUGAUAUGCGUAGAUAUCGGGAAGAACACCCGUGGCGAAGGCGGUUCUCUGGGACGGUACUGACGCUGAGACGCGAAAGCGUGGGGAGCGAACAGG